GUGAGGAAUAUUGCGCAAUGGAGGCAACUCUGACGCAGCCAUGCCGCGUGCAGGAAGAAGGCGCUACGCGUUGUAAACUGCUUUUAACCGGGAAGAAACCCCAGGACGUGUCCUGGGUUGACGGUACCGGAGGAAUAAGCACCGGCUAACUUCGUGCCAGCAGCCGCGGUAAUACGAAGGGUGCAAGCGUUAUCCGGAUUCAUUGGGUUUAAAGGGUGCGUAGGCGGAGCGUUAAGUCAGUGGUGAAAUCCUGCAGCUUAACUGUAGACUUGCCAUUGGUACUGGCGCUCUUGAGUGCGCUUGAAGUGGGCGGAAUGUGCCGUGUAGCGGUGAAAUGCUUAGAUAUGGCACAGAACACCAAUUGCGAAGGCAGCUCACUAAGGCGAUACUGACGCUGAGGCACGAAAGCGUGGGGAUCGAACAGGAUUAGAAACCCCGGUAGUCC
This 445-nucleotide ribosomal RNA is filed under the name uncultured bacterium. RNAcentral describes it as "partial 16S ribosomal RNA". It matches the Rfam family "Bacterial small subunit ribosomal RNA", at positions 354 to 796 of the family's 1533-position model. The record is from RNAcentral.